This is a long non-coding RNA of Cynoglossus semilaevis (tongue sole), 219 nucleotides long. RefSeq lists it as uncharacterized. The transcript has 3 exons. Lineage: Eukaryota; Metazoa; Chordata; Actinopteri; Pleuronectiformes; Cynoglossidae. The record is from RefSeq and is a predicted model, not a curated record.
UGCUGAACCCGGGACCAGACGGAGACUGGAGCUCAUUAUCUAUCGGGACGUCCAUCUACACAACUGAAUAAAUGGGUUUUCACGGUUUUCAUGAAAGCUGAUUGUGCCCUUUGACCUCACAAACAACGCUAUGGCUGUGGAAAUUGGCCGGAGUUCUCCUUCAACGACGACUUUCUUCGGCACCAAACACCUCUCGCUUCUCCAUCAGAGAGCCAAAUG